Long non-coding RNA from Astatotilapia calliptera (eastern happy), 1031 nucleotides. NCBI's taxonomy places the organism in Eukaryota, Metazoa, Chordata, Actinopteri, Cichliformes, Cichlidae. The record is from Ensembl.
GUUUGAUAAAGCGGCACUGCCUCGGUGACAUGAAAGCCCAACUGAGUUCAACAACAGCCGUCAUCUCUGCUCUGCUUUUCUGUAGAUAAAUGCCACUGACAGGAACAGAAUUCACUGUGGUAACUGAUCAGGUGCCAAGUGCCCUCUCCCCAGUGCCCUGCUGCACAGAAGCCCUCCACGGAGCUGGCAUUGGCCUGGCCUGGCCUGGUCUUGCAGCCACGGGCCCAAGCUUUGUAGCUCUACCCUCGACUAUUCAAGCUAUCUCCAAAUCACACCCGCCUGCUGUCAGCAGCCACAGGAGUUUAAAACCCGGCAGUAAAGACCUGGCUAGGAGGCAAAGUUAAGAAAGCAAAGUUGACUUGAUCGGAAAUCUAAUCUUGCAUAUUUAUGUGGUGUUUAUUACACCAGCGUUGCAACUAGCUCAAAUAUAAUUAGUGAUAGAAGAGGUGUUAUUAUGUAGGUCUUUGUCAGAGGACGUGAAUGUGUUUUAAAAAUACCACAGCAAUGAAUCAGUGGCCUCACUAUCUUUACAGGCAGGCAGAGCUGGUAGGUUUUGUCAACCAGGCCAACAAUAAGAGAAGCAUACAGGCACCAGAAUGAAAGAGGCAGUGGUGUUUGCACUUAUUGUUUGGCUUCAGCUGAAAGUGAGAUUGCUGUGAUUUAAUAUAAAACAACCAGCCGUUAUGCAUUUUACCACCAUCUCCAUGUAAAGCCACCUGGCCCUCCAAAAGAAAAAAGAAAAAAAAAAACAUUGGAAUGAUUAAUAUCCCAUGUCUGGAAUACUCAGAAAAUAUACAUAUUAUAACCUUCACGGUUUCACAGCCUCAUAAACCUAAUAGGAUAUUUAUUUUAUUUUAUUUUAAAAAGUGAUUUAAGGCUAGGCUGCAAACAUAUAUACCCAGCUGCCUCGGAUGAAGCCUAUAUUAUAUUGCUACAUCACAAAGGUCUGUGACUAAGCAUUGAGGUCCAUGUUUACAGCAUCCCAGACCGUCGAGGAAAUAUGUGGCCUCGGUGCGUUUGUCUUCGUCCAA